Boleophthalmus pectinirostris (great blue-spotted mudskipper) is the source of this 255-nucleotide long non-coding RNA. RefSeq lists it as uncharacterized. Lineage: Eukaryota; Metazoa; Chordata; Actinopteri; Gobiiformes; Gobiidae. The transcript is spliced from 3 exons. The record is from RefSeq and is a predicted model, not a curated record.
GGUUCAUUUUCCUGAGGUGGAGAAAGUGGACUGGGUCAAUAAGGUUCUGGAACAGGCUUGGCCCUUUUUUGGAAUGUUUAUGGAGAAAUUAUUAAGAACCAACAUUCAGCCUGCUGUCCGACAGUCCAACCCCGCUCUGAAGACCUUCACCUUCACCAAGGUGCACUUUGGACACGUGCCCCUGAGGAUCACUGGGAUGAAGGCUUACACACAUGAGGUGGAUCAGAGAGAGGUGAUUCUGGAUCUUAAUAUCAG